GCCUUCGUGGUGUAAUGGUCAGCACACUGAGAUGGUAUAUUUCAGAGGUCCGUGGUUCGAUCCCCGGUGAAGGCA
This is a non-coding RNA of Stegodyphus mimosarum, 75 nucleotides long. NCBI's taxonomy places the organism in Eukaryota, Metazoa, Arthropoda, Arachnida, Araneae, Eresidae. The record is from Rfam.